CUAUAAAAGAGCAACCUCCAAACCAGCAAGGGGCAUCUUCUGAUCAGCUACUCAGCAUCUUCUCCCCUCGCCAGAAACUCUGCAGCUUCUUUCUUUCCUUUCUUUUCAUCUUUUGUGUAUUUAGUCCACCAUGAGUGGCUAAUUUCCUUCUUUUCUAGUUGAAGUUGGUGAAUUUUAGAUUUUGUGAUGAAUUGGGAGAUUUAAAUCUCCAUUGUUAAACUUCUAUUUAUUU
This 232-nucleotide long non-coding RNA is filed under the name Manihot esculenta (cassava). RNAcentral's name for it is "long non-coding RNA (MESC_LNC012314)". The record is from RNAcentral. Lineage: Eukaryota; Viridiplantae; Streptophyta; Magnoliopsida; Malpighiales; Euphorbiaceae.